This 317-nucleotide ribosomal RNA is filed under the name uncultured soil bacterium. Its description in RNAcentral is "bacterial SSU rRNA". It matches the Rfam family "Bacterial small subunit ribosomal RNA", at positions 26 to 339 of the family's 1533-position model. The record is from RNAcentral.
AGAUUGAACGCUGGCGGCAUGCCUUACACAUGCAAGUCGAACGGCAGCACGGGGGCAACCCUGGUGGCGAGUGGCGAACGGGUGAGUAAUGCAUCGGAACGUGCCCAGUAGUGGGGGAUAACUAGUCGAAAGAUUAGCUAAUACCGCAUACGACCUAUGGGUAGAAAGCGGGGGAUUCGCAAGAACCUCGCGCUAUCGGAGCGGCCGAUGUCUGAUUAGCUAGGUUGGGACGGGGUAAAACGCCCACCAAGGCUUCGAUCAGUAGCUGGUCUGAGAGGACCGACCAGCCACACGUGGACUGACGACCGACCGGCCCA